Long non-coding RNA from Empidonax traillii (willow flycatcher), 1709 nucleotides. RefSeq lists it as uncharacterized. NCBI's taxonomy places the organism in Eukaryota, Metazoa, Chordata, Aves, Passeriformes, Tyrannidae. The transcript has 3 exons. The record is from RefSeq and is a predicted model, not a curated record.
GGGCGCGGUAAGGCCGGCGUGGCCGCUCCGCAAGGACGGGCUGGCGUGGGGUGGGGGGGAAGGGAGGAGGGGGGUUGCGGGACUUGCGCUGCCUUCCCUUCAAAUCUUGCCCUCUCGGAGCCUGGCAGUGCUCCGGGGAGUCAACACAGGGGGAUAGAACAGCUCUCCCUCACAAAAACCCAGUGCGGAGCCCUCCUCUCCGUCCUGCAUCCUGUCGUGAGGCACAAACGGCCCUUCCCUCCUUUUCCUCUCCGCGGCCUCCUCACUGUCCUGGGCUGACGCCUCUCUCCCUCCUCAGUGUAUCCCGAGGCACCGGCGAUUCCUUCCCAUGUCCCGGUCGGGCCGGAGGCCGGGCGCGGCGGGCCUGGGCCCGGCGAAGCGCUGGAGAGCUGCGGGCACGCCUCUGGACGCCCAUGGGUGAGGGGCACACCGACAUCAUUCGCUACCCCACAGCCUGGGGCUGGCUAGAAAAGGCUUCUGGCUUCAAUAGGCUUUAAAUCUCGAGACUUUUUAAAGACAUUUAUGGAGAUGCUGCCCUACGUCUCUGAGACAAAAAUGUGUUUGUACACAUUUGCACCCUUCUGUUCUUUAAAUUGCAGGUAUUGAGCUGCACAGAUCAUGAAUCUAAUUCACUGCAGUGGUUUUAUGUUUUUACAGGCUACAUCAAGAAUAUUACACUCAUACCCUGCAGUGUUGAGAGUACUGAAUGCUGUAGGCACGACUCUCGUGAUAAUAACUUAAACAAAGUAGUCCCUUACUGCUUGGGCUUUCUUUCCCGUCUUCUAUUGCAUCUGUAACAGUGUCUUUUGAUGUUGCUUAGUCGAGCUCUGUGUAUAACUUGUUACAAGCUAUGUAUGUAUAUAUAAGUAGACACAAGGUAGCAAUGAAUUCUCUGGUAAAGAUCAGUCUAAUCUGGAUAUUUGUAGUUUAAGGGUAGGGUCAGCACAAAAAGGAAUUUAGGCUUAAUAAAUUUUCCAUGUUUCUGAUAAGUAGUAUAUUUGAAAAGAUAUUAAACAUACAUUUUAUGUAUUUUAAAUAGACUAAUGAAAACAACUUUUUAGACAGAUUGAAAAACUGAUUAUCAUUUGAUUUGACAAUAAGCUUCAUGUAGACAACCUCUGCAAUUGUGUAGAAAAUUACUGUAAAAGUCUAACCCAACAUAGUAGCAACUCUGUAUCAUAUGGCUUUGAGAAGGUCUAAACACUAAUAAUUUUACCAUAAUCUUAUUAAUUUUUUUGUGUGUUGUCUAGAGGCCUCAUGCAAUAAAUAUUCUAAACAUGGAUAAUCAGACCUAAAUGUGAAGCAAAAAGCUCAGGACUUCUUAAGAAUAAAUACCUUCUACUGGAAGGUUUCUCAAAUCUGGUUCUUUGUGAACCUAUGUGAUAAAAGUCUUCAGUGAAGAGUUUCUUGUAGAUUGUUUGGUCUCCAGGGAGGAAACCAGAAUGUGCCAGGGACCUGAACUGAUAUUAAACCCCAGCUUAUGAUUUUCUGCAUGGCUGAUGUAUGACUUCAUAUGAGAUGACUCCACUUGUCACCUGUAAUGUAUCAUCUUGGAAGUGGAAUUGAGAUAAGCAAUGUCUAAAACUACAUGUCUUCAAUGAUCAUGUGUAAACAGGAACCUCACCAUUUGUUGAAACAGGUUUCUUAACAAAAACUUUUUUAAUUUAUUACUAUCUUUGUGGACCAAUUGAAAUAAAAUGUGACUUUGC